This 467-nucleotide RNase MRP RNA is filed under the name Phialocephala subalpina. RNAcentral's name for it is "RNase MRP". It matches the Rfam family "RNase MRP". From Rfam's summary of the family: RNase MRP is an enzymatically active ribonucleoprotein with two distinct roles in eukaryotes. In mitochondria it plays a direct role in the initiation of mitochondrial DNA replication. In the nucleus it is involved in precursor rRNA processing, where it cleaves the internal transcribed spacer 1 between 18S and 5.8S rRNAs. Lineage: Eukaryota; Fungi; Ascomycota; Leotiomycetes; Helotiales; Mollisiaceae. The record is from Rfam by way of RNAcentral.
UUCUCGCUCAAAGAAUCGCAUUCGAAGCACACAAACAGAGAGAUUCUUGGGUCUCUCAGCUAGCAAUAGCUACUGUUGCUUUGGGAGAAAGUCCCCGGACACCCUUCCUUUUGGAAGGAUUGUGGAAACACGCCGCCAUAGAAGCACAUUGCGGCUUCUCCAGCACCAAUUCCUCUUCGUUUCCUCCACCCUCUCGCCGUUCGUACUACCUUCUCGUCGAUCUCAGGACCACUGUUCUUAGCUAAGGAGACCACAUGGAUGAAGAUAUGAGUCCGAGCUCCUUUGCGACGUUCUUUGGGAAUGGGUGAGAUGGGAUUGUGGGAGGUGUGUUGGACUGUUCUUGGGUCGGGGAGGAUGUUCUAGUCGCUGGAGGCAUUUUCGUCGAGAAUGAUAGUUAUGCGAUUGCCCUCUUCUGCUUUGCAAAUUGUGGAAAGGGUAACUCGAUGGGGCUUAUUCUUGAUGCGAGA